RNAcentral lists this ribosomal RNA (460 nucleotides) under Microcystis aeruginosa G-01. Its description in RNAcentral is "partial 16S ribosomal RNA". Lineage: Bacteria; Bacillati; Cyanobacteriota; Cyanophyceae; Chroococcales; Microcystaceae. The record is from RNAcentral.
AUCCAUCGUUUACGGCUAGGACUACAGGGGUAUCUAAUCCCUUUCGCUCCCCUAGCUUUCGUCCCUGAGUGUCAGAUACAGCCCAGUAGCACGCUUUCGCCACCGAUGUUCUUCCCAAUCUCUACGCAUUUCACCGCUACACUGGGAAUUCCUGCUACCCCUACUGCUCUCUAGUCUGCCAGUUUCCACCGCCUUUAGGUCGUUAAGCAACCUGAUUUGACGGCAGACUUGGCUGACCACCUGCGGACGCUUUACGCCCAAUAAUUCCGGAUAACGCUUGCCUCCCCCGUAUUACCGCGGCUGCUGGCACGGAGUUAGCCGAGGCUGAUUCCUCAAGUACCGUCAGAACUUCUUCCUUGAGAAAAGAGGUUUACAAUCCAAAGACCUUCCUCCCUCACGCGGCGUUGCUCCGUCAGGCUUUCGCCCAUUGCGGAAAAUUCCCCACUGCUGCCUCCCGUAG